UACGUAGGUGACAAGCGUUAUCCGGAAUUACUGGGCGUAAAGCGCACGCAGGCGGUGAGAUAAGUCCGAUGUGAAACCUUCCGGCUUAACCGGAAGACGUCGUUGGAUACUGUUUCACUUGAGGCAAUGAGAGGAAUGCGGAAUUCCCGGUGUAAUGGUGGAAUAUGUAGAUAUCGGGAGGAACAUCUGUGGCGAAAGCGGCAUUCUAGCAUUAGCCUGACGCUCAUGUGCGAAAGCGUGGGGAGCAAACGGG
Molecule: ribosomal RNA, 253 nt
Filed under: uncultured bacterium
Lineage: Bacteria
Description: partial 16S ribosomal RNA
Rfam family: Bacterial small subunit ribosomal RNA
Source: RNAcentral